Molecule: long non-coding RNA, 654 nt
Organism: Lathyrus oleraceus (garden pea)
Lineage: Eukaryota; Viridiplantae; Streptophyta; Magnoliopsida; Fabales; Fabaceae
Exons: 3
Source: RefSeq, a predicted model, not a curated record
CAUUGAUGGAUGCCACACUACCGGAAGACGUCGUUUUUUGUGUGAAUCCUGAGCCAUUAGCAGUUUGUCCACUGUUUGCUAUCAGUAAAUUUAACCAUGGAAAUUGAUUUUAUUCUAUGAGUAAAAUCUCGGUGUAUUCCAGUACAGAUUGUGCAAACAAACGUCCAAAAAUUUGUGCAUACAUAUUGCGGUCCUAAGCUAUUGCAAUUAAUGCAUCUUCGAUUAUGUGAGAUAAAGAAGCAUUUAAGCACCCUUUUUUAAGCUGACGAUGACGGUCAAUGAGAAAGAUCCAGCAGUGUAAUAACCAGAGAGAGGAAGUGAUUUUCUGAAUUGGUAAAUUACGGCAUUGUACAACUUGGAAUUUGCAUCCAUUUUGCCGGAAAGAAUUUACUGUAGAUUUUUCGAGUCUCCAUUAUUUCCUUAAAAGAAAGGAAAUUUUCCACUUUCCAUGAAAAUGAACUUCUCUUCCCAGAACUAUCAAGAAGGGAACUGCUGCUGUUUAACUCAGAAUCAGGCUCAGUAAAAUCCUGCAUUAUUGAUGUCUCUUUCAAUAUAAGAACUUCAGUUGGGAAAAUGACAGUGUCUUGGACAAGAAAACCUGAAUCUUGAUCAAAUAGACUAGUAAGCGUCACAAAUUCACGCCAACCCCAAUCC